GCCUAGGUGGUUCAGUGGGUUAAGCAUCUGACUUCAGCUCAGGUCAUGAUCUCAUGGUUCGUGGGUUCGAGCCCCGCAUCAGGCU
This 85-nucleotide transfer RNA is filed under the name Felis catus (domestic cat). It matches the Rfam family "tRNA". Rfam says of the family: Transfer RNA (tRNA) molecules are approximately 80 nucleotides in length. Their secondary structure includes four short double-helical elements and three loops (D, anti-codon, and T loops). The record is from Rfam by way of RNAcentral. Lineage: Eukaryota; Metazoa; Chordata; Mammalia; Carnivora; Felidae.